Dendronephthya gigantea is the source of this 248-nucleotide long non-coding RNA. RefSeq lists it as uncharacterized. The transcript is spliced from 3 exons. NCBI's taxonomy places the organism in Eukaryota, Metazoa, Cnidaria, Anthozoa, Malacalcyonacea, Nephtheidae. The record is from RefSeq and is a predicted model, not a curated record.
GGAAGUGACAAGAUUUCUGCACAGAGAUUUUUCUUGGUCAAGAGUGCAACAUGAGCUGUUGAUAUGAACUUUACUGUCAGAUGAACUUUGGAAGUGACAAGAUUUCUUCACAGAGAAUGAAUGAAGUUGAAAGGCACCCUUGAAGAACCUGAAUUAUUUUAGCCCUAUCCUAGAUUCAUUAAUUAAUAUAUUUUAGUGUGUGAUAACAUGUGUGAAAUGUGAUCAAUUAUGUGACAAUUUUCAAAACU